GCAACACUUCCCUUCAAAGUCCUCCUGCAUCACAACAGUGAAAGAGACACAAAGUGUCCUAAUUCCUGGUAAAGCAAAUGGCUUCCCGCAAACCAAGAUCACGAUGUACAAAAAUGGACACCUGAUAGGAAGCAGAGAAGUACCAGCAAAAUUUGUUAUCGAACCUGAGCGUUCCGUAACCGCUUACAAGACAUGGGACACCGUGCUGCAAUGUGACAUCUUUGGGUACCCCUACCCAGUGAUCACAUGGACGAGAUCGGGCAGGCAGCUUCCCAUCAACAGUCAUGUUAUCAAUGGUUCCCGCCUUCCGAUUCAAAACACAACAGAGGACGAUUAUCUUUGUCAGGGAACCAACCGACCGGCAAAUGUCGUGAGAGUUGUAUGAAUCUUUGUCAAAGUUUUUGUGAAUUCCAACAUUGCAUCCAGUCCACCCAAUGAAAUAAAGGUGCCUUACAUUGGUGAUACUGUGACAUUAAACUAUUCCGCUG
Molecule: long non-coding RNA, 488 nt
Organism: Stylophora pistillata
Lineage: Eukaryota; Metazoa; Cnidaria; Anthozoa; Scleractinia; Pocilloporidae
Source: RefSeq, a predicted model, not a curated record